GUGUCCACAGUACACGGAUGCCCCACUCGCACUAUCAUUUUCUAUGUUUAGUGGACCAUGAAAUUGGAAUAAAUUCUCUAAUUUGGCAUUAAAAUUAGAAUGAUCUUAUCAAAGGGAACAUGUAUACUAAGUUUCAAGUUGAUUGGACUUCUACUUUAUCAAAAACUACCUUGACCAAAAACUUUAACCUGAAAUUUGCACUAUCAUUUUCUAUGUUCAGUGAACCGUAAAAUUGGGGUCAAAACUCUAA
This 250-nucleotide long non-coding RNA is filed under the name Mytilus galloprovincialis (Mediterranean mussel). Lineage: Eukaryota; Metazoa; Mollusca; Bivalvia; Mytilida; Mytilidae. The record is from RNAcentral.